GAAGGUGUGCAGAGAGCCAAAAGAGGAGGGUCGGCCUUUUCAGGGCUGUUUCCGGCGCCUCAUUUCGCUGAUGUGUGGAAUGGGGAUAGCAGCAAAUAUCUUUCUAGACUGAUGAAAAACGCCAAACCUAUUGUGUGAACCGUAGCCUUGGUCAUCUGCUUUGUUACUUCUGAAGUUACCACUUCAGAGAGUCCAGGGCUCCUCAGACUCAUGCCCGGCUUGGAAAAUCAAGGGUGUGAACAUCCUCUGCGACAACUGAUGGCCAAGGGUAGCAGGAGCUGAUGAAUAAGUCAUCCUCCCACAGGGCAUAUGUCCCGUAUGUUCCGAGAUCCUCAGUGGAUGCCUGAAAUGCUGAAACUACAGUGGUCCUGAGCUCUAUGUAUUCACAUACACUUCAGGAAAAGAAGAACUCGCAUAAAUAUUUUAAUACUAAAUUUAUUGAGACAUCAUGAGAUUCAUACUAGUUACCUUUGGCCUCUACAACGACAAGAGGUGCUCAAAGUGGUGGCCAUGAGCUCCCAGACAUUUAUUAGUCCAGCGAAUUGCUGCUUGGGUAACUUUGAUCAAAGUGUCCCUUGAGAUUGCUGCAUGUGCAUUUUCAAUUUCUUCCCUACAGCUGGCAGUGUAGUGAGUUUUCUGGAAUAUACAGCAUCCUUUAGGGUCCUCCCUAGAUAAAAGUCUGCAGGUGUUAAAUCAGGAGAACAUGUGGGGAACUCAACUGCAACAAGUGACAUAAACAUCAGUGACACAAUGGAGGAGGCACGGUUACCGAUUAAGGACCAUAAGAACAUUUCAAUGUAGUAUUUCAAAUUCAAGACUCUCGGUGAAGUACAAUGAUGAUGUGGGCCUGAGUUGGGAACAGAACCUCCAACACACCUGACAAUUGCACGGAUUCAGGAUAAGUUCAAAAACCAUGAUACCAUGUGGGAUGUGCAUAAAGGAAAAUCCGGCAGACCUCUUACAGCAGCAGGUGCUGUUUCCUUGGCGGCGGUGCUGGAACAAUUCACACCUUCACCACAGAAGUCUGGCACAGUGUGCGCCGAGACAGGAGUAAGCAGUGCAAGCACAUGGAGCAUUCUUAAGAGAGAAGCUGAUCCUGCCAAAAACAUUUUAUUUAUCUAAUGUGCAACAGUCCAGUGCACAUUGAUGAUUAUCUGUAGCAUUCGACUCCAUGCCCCUGGUCAUGACAGCAAGAAUCUUUGGAAACAGUAGGACAACUGAAACAAUACUAAAAGCCCAAGGGAAUUCAAUAAAGCAGAUGUGCACUGGCAGCUUCACAGCAAAGGAAGAAAUUUAAAGCCACACUGAGUUGUGCAGAAGGCCUUCAGAUGUGCAAUGGCAAAAGAAUCAUCUAAGUAUUUCUGUGUUUCUUCUGGACAAUGGGAUUGAGAAUGAAGGUGGCAGCUGAACACGACUGUGAAUUCAAAGGCCACAGCAGCAACAGAGGACAAAAUCCAUCAUGAGCCUGAUGGGUUGGUGAGACGGAUUCAGGCACAGUGGGAAGGUGUAGGUUUGGCAAAAGGAUGAGGGUCCCACCUUAACAGCUGGUUUUUGGCAGUCUUCCCAGAAGUGCCUCCCUGAACUCUGAACAGCAGGUAUGAAUAAUGGCAGUUUCCAAAUCCUAUCACCCAGUCUUAAUCAUCCACAGCAUAGAUCCAUCCAGCAUGGCUUUAGUGAAUGCUUGGCCCAGUCGAAACAGAAGUUAAGUGCAGUAAAAGUUCUGGUGCAUCUAGUUAUAGCUGAGACUUUGUGCUGUCAGGCAUGUUUUUACUUGAAACUAUGAGAUAAACAUAGCAUUGCGUUACAAUGCUAAUUCCAUUUGAUGGUGAGCAAUUAAAAACAUUACAUUAAAAAUGAAAACAUUGUAGCUGAGAUGAAAAACUUGGAUGAGUUGAAAGAUUUCAAAGAAUGUUCUUAAUGGAGCAGUUGAUGCCAGAACCCUUGCGAGUACAAGUCUAUUCCUUCCUUCAUUAGGAUUGCUUCAGUCAGAAACAUUUAUAAUGCCUUGGAGGACAGGAUCAAUUCCAAGUCCGAGACCCCAUUUCUCCAUGAUCUGAUCAUGCCUGACUUGCCACCUUCUUCUCUUUAAUGGUUCUCUCAAAACUCCAUUCAACAAGGAUCUACACCACUUAACAGCCAUAGAAAUGCCAAAAAUGAAUUUUAUAUAAAAAAUUAGAAGCAUACAAAGCUUUGAGGAGGUCAAGGAGAACAAGGUUCAGGAAAUCAGGGUUGCAGGAAGAGCAAGAAAGCAUUGCCAGCACCUGGGGCUGUCCACAGCCAUGUACCAAAGCCCAAAGCUUCGCUUCUACUGUCCAAAUGUUGCAUGGGUGGCUCAAACCCAGGAACUCAGUGUUAUGGCUGAGUUAUGUCCCUAAGGAUUCUUAUAUCAAAGUCCUGAUCCCCAGUCCCUGAGAUUUUAUUUGGAAAUCAGGACUUUAAAGAGGCGAUUGAUGUAGAGUGAGGCUGUAUGGACAGGGCCUUAAUCCCAUAAGAUGAUAUCCUUACUAAAGGAGAUUAGGACAAAGAAGGAAAGUGGUCAUACCCAAGCCAAGGAGAAGGGUUUCAGAAGAAACCAGCACUACCAAUACUUGGAUCUUAGAAUUCUAGCUCCCCAGAAAUUCCUGCUGUUUCAGCUGUCUGGUUUAUGAUAAUUUGUUGUAGCAGCCCUAGCAAAUGAAUAUGUUCUGGAAGUAGGGAUUUUGCAAGACAUAGGUCCUAAGUUUCCAGUCCCCAUGGUAUAAGGCAGAACUUUGAAGGGCCAGUGGUACUGAGUUGCCAAGAGACAAGUUGGCACAGCCGUCCUUCACUGGGCACAUGCAAGACCACUCACGUCCCAAGCUCUGUGUACAUUUAUCCUACUUCACUGAGUCCUUCCAUCACCCACUCACAGCCCCAAACCUGGGUCUCCCAGGUAGUGCCCUGUCUGGUUGCAUCUGCUUCCUCCUCUCUGGUCCACCUAGGGAGGACCUCCUGAUCUUUAGGUCUUCCUCCACGCCCUUUCCAACAGCCCUUCCCCUUUCACUCACCAUCCCUCCCCAUGUUGUCCAGUUUGGUUUGCUUCCUCCUCGUUAUGGUUGUGUCUAGUUGUCCCCUCAAAGCCUCAUGUGGUCAUAGGUGGGGCUGCUCAGAGGUGGCUGGAUCUGAGAUGUGCGCUGCUAGAAUUAAGGGUGUGAUGCUUAGAAAUAAAACAAAAUUCUAAACAGGGCAAUAAUAAUAGAAGAAAAUAUUAUUAGCAGUGGUUAUCUUUGGGUGAUUCCCCCCAACUACUGUUGCUUAUUUUGUACUUCUAAUUCAUCCAUAAUGAAGAUGAACUUGUUUUAUUAUAGGCUUUUAAAAAAUCCAUGUCCUACCCCAAAUAUUUUUGCUGUCAAUUCCUUUAUACCUUGUAGUUAAGGGACAUUAUUUAGAGGAAUUUUCUGUGACCAGGAGAGAAAAGGCCACUGUGUCCUGCCACUGAGCCACUCAGAAGACAGAACCUCAGGAAAGGAAGGCAAAGACCAACCAGCCUUGGUGCCCUUGUUCUUCCACACCAGAGCAAUAGGAUAAGGAGCAGCACUGGUGGGUCUUUCCAGAGCUGACUAGGGAGCUGACACAUCCACUGUAUAGGCCCAAAGCACACUAAGAUGGCCAAAUCCUGCCCUGACACCACCCUACCCGGAAGCUUCUUGCAAACCACCCCAAGGUCUACAUUCCCUUUGGACACUCCUACUGUAAGUUUGAACGGGUCUCAUGAAACAAGGUGUUAUGUCUGCUUUGCUGAGUCCUCAGCAUAUGACACAGUGUCUGCUCUGAAAGUUCGGAAUGAAUGAACAAGUGAAUGAAUGAAUGAAUGAACUCCUUACAUCUUUGUUUCUCCAGGUCACAUAGCCCCAGUUCCUUCAAUAGUUUCUUUCUAAUGUGCUUCCUGGGCUCUUCCCCACUUCCCUUUGGAUACCGUCCAAUGUGUCAAUGCUCCUCUUAAAAUGUGGAGCCCAGGAGUACACAUAGCAGUCCUCGCAUGUGUGGAGAGUGUACAGUUCACAGGAGUCAGAACUUCUUCUGUUAGCAUGACCCACUUUUAUGGUGCAUCUCAAGAUCAGUUAUUGACAAAGCCACAGAUGUUCAAACACUCUAGACUGGAAUGUCAGGGCUUGAGGAUCGUCGUGACCAGUCCCAGCCCCACUGUGCUCCCUCCUUUGAACACUGAAGAUGCGGAAACACAUGGUGAGAAAGCUGCAGGCUCAGGAUUUGAAAGCCCUAGGCUCUGCUCCUUGGGAUGGUCAUAAUGUCCAUUGAGUGCUGGGCUCACACUGGGCCAAUCAUCAUGCCAAGGGCCUCACGUGCAUUUCUCACUCAAACCUUGCUGCAAGCACUGAUGCUAUUUUUAAUCCAUGUUUUACAAGUAGGGAAACUGAGGCUCAGAAAGAGGCUGAGAAACCUGCCUUUGUUAGUCUCCAUUAACUAGCUGACAAGGAGUCUUGACCUGGUCACUUGGACUCUGGGCUUCACCUUCCUUAUCAGUCGAAUAGAAGUAAUAAUAACAGCCUUGGAGAAUUAUUGGCAGGAUUUAUUAAAGAGAUGCAGUGAAAGUGAGUAUUAAAACGUAAACUGGUGAUACAUUAUUGUAAAGAAUCUGACUUUCCAGAACACUGUCUGGAGACCUAGACUCCAAUUUCCUCUCCUUGUCUGCCCAUUCCAGAUUGCUGUCAGUCGACGUAACAAAUGUUUUCUUCCUUGCUGCAAUCCUGGGCUUCCUGUUAUAGAUUAAGAGUAAUUACUCCCAAAUGGAUACAUAAAAGCCUAAUUUCUGGCCAACACACAUCAAGACUUCCAUAAAUAUGCAUGUAGGUUUUAUUUAUUAUUCUUCAUUAAAUCUAUUUCAAGUGAAAACAAACAAAUCCACUCUUCAAGUAUUAAAUUAGCUCAGCACGAAAGUGUCGCCUUGCAUCAGUAUUACAGAAGAGGGCGCUGUUUCUCUAUAAAGUGGGCAGUCAAGCUUUCCAACGGGGAUUAUCAAAUUUGGAAAGGUGACUGCUGGGUGGAGUUUAGUGGGCAGGGCUUGCUGGGCAGCUCCCCCACCCCAGCUAGUCUGUUCCCUUCCUGCACAUCAUCUACCCAAAGGCCUACCUGAGGGCCUUUCAGUCUGAGACCUGUAGACUUUGGUCCAACCUCUCCGUGCUACAGACGAGGAAACUGAGGCCAGAAGGACGUUGUUUAAGGUUCCACCACUAUGGAGGUACUGAGACCCGGCAGACACCAGGGCUCCAGACUCACGACCUCAGGGUCCUGUCCCACCCCUGCGGUUUCUCAGAGAUGGACACUGGUCUUAGCUCUUGCCCCUGCCCUAGUGAGAAAGAUUCAGUCCUUUCCUCCUCUCUCCUAGGACUCUGGGGUGGGGUGGUCCCAGGCGGAGUAAGAGGCAAGAGAGGCCUAGGAAGACAGAAAUGGGUAGAGGGGUGGGGAGAGGAUGCCUGCCACUGCUUUCUCUAGAGCCCUGUUCUCCCAGCAGUUUUGCUUCUCCAAAUCCUGACUGCUGUGGCUGAUGGACAGGAUCUGGAGAACAUGGCAGCAGGGUCCUCGUUCUCUCAUCUGUAAAGUGGGAAUGCCAUUACUUUCUAAGGAUGAUGCAAACAUAAUCUAUUCUACCAUGAAGGAUCUGUGACACUGCUUAACUAGAUGUCAUCUUGCCUGAAAAGUGAUGAACUCUGGAAGUGGGAGCGAUUAUUCGGAAGUGAAAGGAGGAGGCAGGCUCUUUGUCUCCCUGUGAAUGCUGUUGGACUUUCGGCCUCCCCCUCCACAUUCCAACAGCUCUCUUCCUGAACCAGUGGUUCUGAUCUGGGCAGCACAUUAAAAGACCCUGUGGUACUUUAAAAAAAUCUCGAUGCCCAGGCUGCCUGGAGCCCCAGUAAAUCAGACUCUUUGGAGCUGAGUGUAGUCAUUAGCGCUGUUGGUGACCUGUCUACUCUGCAGAUCGCAAGGUGAGAACCAUAGUUCCCAAUCCUCCCCCUGCCUUGUCUCGGCCCUGGGCUUCUCUCUACCAACAGCCACUUUCACUACACACUUCUGUUCCUGAGUCCCUGCCCCUGGCCUUGGACUCUGAGCAUAUUAACCCCUCUGCACCUUGGCUUUCUUAUCAGGAAAACAAUGGAAGGGGGAGACAGUUGGUCAUCUACUCAGCACUCAGUACCUCCUUUUCCCUUCCACAUAAAAGGCAGACUUAUGAAGCCAAGCAUCUGCCAGAAGGUGUUCUGCAGACCCCAAAGUUAAUGGUAUUCAUCUGCUUUUUCCAGCAACCAACUUAGAACAAGACUGUAGCUUAACUGUGCUAAGUAGGAUGUGAGAGGUGGCUUCUGGGAAAGUGUUUUUGCUCCUGAAAGAGAACUAGAAGUCACAGGGCGGCACCUGGGACUGCUUGCGUCAUCUUGUGACCAGCUUGAGGAUGAAAGCAAACAGGCCCAACACUUAAAGAUGAAUGUUUUAGAAAGUUAAAGUCACAAGGAUGAGGAACAGAAGAGAAUUAAUGUUUCCUAAGUCCCAAUUACAUAAAGGAACCUCUGCUAAGUCCAGUAGGAGAUGGGCCAGCUUAUGUAACUGAGACCACUGUCGGCUGGCACUGGAACACAAUCAGCUUACAGGCAAGAUUGAUUUUAAUGUUAGUCCAACAUUUAGACAAAUACUUUAACCUCUCUAAGCCUCAGUUUUCUUAUCUGUGAAGUAGGAAUAAUGGAAUCUUCCAAUCAUGGGACUGUCAGAAGGAUUAAGUGAAAUAAUGCAUGUCAGUGAUCUAGCACAUUAACAAGACUCAAUGGACACCAGAUAUUACAACUUUAAAACAAAAUGCUCCAUAAGCAGACUGUUUAUUGUCGUUAUCAAGAUCUACUUUUAAUCUAUGAAUAAAAUGAGAAUCAUAAAACUCAAGUGAACUUGUCUCAAUCCCCCAGUGAAAAGUGACAGAGCUGAGAUUUAAUCUCAAGAAUUCCAAUUUCUAAUCUGCUUGUGCUUUUUCCUGCCUCUCCUGCUUGCUGUACUUAGUUGAGGAAAACCCCACAUUCUCCUGCAGUGAGCAAUGCUUGGGAGUCCUUCUCUAAACACAGGUUUGCAGGCAAACCAAGUGAAAAGGAGAGGCUGAGCCCGAGACAGGAUAUGACCAAGUAGCUGCUACGGGCAAGGAAUCUCUCUUAGCAGGACAUGUGUUAGGCUUGCAGACAUAGGCUCAUAGGACCACAGACUCUCAGGGUUCAGAAGGAGAUCGUGUAACCUAACCUUGGCCCAGGCUGGAACUACUAUUUGCCCCCCUUGAGACAGAGGCUUCCAACUUUCCAGAGAGGGGUACAUCUGAUUGUUAAAAAGUUCUCCAGUUGUUGAGAUGACAUGCACCUCCUUUGAACUUCCACCAUCGGUUCUUGCUGGGGCCUUCAGGAAAGAGAGAGAACAGCCCUCCACCCUUUGUCACCAGCAGGUCGCCCUUUGCAAUCAUGCCAAGGAUGGCUCAUUUCACCCUGCAUCUGCUCUCCUCAUCUCCUCCAAUCUAGUCCAUUAAUACUCUAGUCCAUUUCCCCAACUUUCACAACUGAUCCUCCAAACAUGCAGCUUCCACGUCUACCACCAUGUUGGCCUCUCUUCUGAUACAGAUAAAUGGAAGUGGAAUCGACAUUCAGGGAAGGAUUGUCUAACAAAGCAAUUCAGCAGUGGAUUAAGGGGUCAGGUUGAAAUUUUAUUGUUUGUUUGUAAAUUAUACCUAAUAAGAGUUGCAGAGGAAAAUUAUUCCUUAAUGUGGCAGGCCUCUGUUGUUUAUGCUUCUUUAGCAUCCAUUCUCUUUUCUGUGGGAUUGAGAUUAACAUCCUCUUUGAUGAAUGACCAAAGUCCUUCAGACACAAUCUGGCUGAGACAGUUGGCAAGGUGUCCUACUGUGGCCAGGCCAUAAGCAGAAACAUGGCCAACACUGGGCAGACCAGAUCUUCCUUUCCUAAUUGGGUGGCGUUGGGGUGGGGCCAGACUCACAGUUGUGCCUAGAAGAGGCUGAGCGCCGUUCCCGUGGGACCCCCUGGAAUAAUCCCUUCCUUGCUCCCUGAUUUCCUUGUGAACUCUUUCUGUUGCUUGCAGCUAAAGCCCCCUGGUUUAUUGGGUAACAGAGUAAAGGGGAAAAUAACAUUAUUGAGUAUUAAUAAAAUAGUCUCAAACAGAUAAAGAGAAAAACAAACACUGACUCUAAUCUUUAUUAUUAU
Heterocephalus glaber (naked mole-rat) is the source of this 8204-nucleotide long non-coding RNA. RefSeq lists it as uncharacterized. Lineage: Eukaryota; Metazoa; Chordata; Mammalia; Rodentia; Bathyergidae. The record is from RefSeq and is a predicted model, not a curated record.